CGGGGCCGGAACACUGUCUGA
This 21-nucleotide microRNA is filed under the name Scyliorhinus torazame (cloudy catshark). RNAcentral describes it as "Sto-Mir-128-P2_5p* (star (passenger))". The record is from RNAcentral. Lineage: Eukaryota; Metazoa; Chordata; Chondrichthyes; Carcharhiniformes; Scyliorhinidae.